RNAcentral lists this ribosomal RNA (846 nucleotides) under uncultured bacterium. RNAcentral's name for it is "bacterial SSU rRNA". It matches the Rfam family "Bacterial small subunit ribosomal RNA", at positions 60 to 919 of the family's 1533-position model. The record is from RNAcentral.
AGUCGAACGAGAGAGAAGGAGCUUGCUUCUUCGAUCGAGUGGCGAACGGGUGAGUAACGCGUGAGGAACCUGCCUCAAAGAGGGGGACAACAGUUGGAAACGACUGCUAAUACCGCAUAAGCCCACGGGUCGGCAUCGACCUGAGGGAAAAGGAGCAAUCCGCUUUGAGAUGGCCUCGCGUCCGAUUAGCUAGUUGGUGAGGUAAUGGCCCACCAAGGCGACGAUCGGUAGCCGGACUGAGAGGUUGAACGGCCACAUUGGGACUGAGACACGGCCCAGACUCCUACGGGAGGCAGCAGUGGGGAAUAUUGCACAAUGGGGGAAACCCUGAUGCAGCGACGCCGCGUGGAGGAAGAAGGUCUUCGGAUUGUAAACUCCUGUUGUUGAGGAAGAUAAUGACGGUACUCAACAAGGAAGUGACGGCUAACUACGUGCCAGCAGCCGCGGUAAAACGUAGGUCACAAGCGUUGUCCGGAAUUACUGGGUGUAAAGGGAGCGCAGGCGGGAAGACAAGUUGGAAGUGAAAUCUAUGGGCUCAACCCAUAAACUGCUUUCAAAACUGUUUUUCUUGAGUAGUGCAGAGGUAGGCGGAAUUCCCGGUGUAGCGGUGGAAUGCGUAGAUAUCGGGAGGAACACCAGUGGCGAAGGCGGCCUACUGGGCACCAACUGACGCUGAGGCUCGAAAGUGUGGGUAGCAAACAGGAUUAGAUACCCUGGUAGUCCACACCGUAAACGAUGAUUACUAGGUGUUGGAGGAUUGACCCCUUCAGUGCCGCAGUUAACACAAUAAGUAAUCCACCUGGGGAGUACGACCGCAAGGUUGAAACUCAAAGGAAUUGACGGGGG